This 1317-nucleotide long non-coding RNA is filed under the name Apteryx haastii (Great spotted kiwi). RNAcentral describes it as "lncRNA (ENSAHAG00000014478.1)". The record is from RNAcentral. Lineage: Eukaryota; Metazoa; Chordata; Aves; Apterygiformes; Apterygidae.
AUGUAUGAUCCCUGUGCUUUGUUUCAAAAUGCAGACAAACUGUUAAAUAUCACUACUAGCUCUGUUAUAUUUUCAGGACCUGCAAGAAAUGCCUCAGUGAUCAGACCCCUUUUUUUCUGUUUUAGAUGUUCUCCCCUCUCCAACACUGGUGGUAGCAAAACAGUCCAAAGGAUUUUGACAGCAUGCAURGUCUCCCUCUGCAGCCUCCUUGGAGCCUUUUCUUUUGAUUUAAGCAACAGCUUGGAAAUAUGGAGAAACACAGGGAAGGCSCUUCAGGAACUUGCCUCCUGUGAAAACGUUUGGGCUGUUCGCCUCAUCUAUCUCCUGCAGGAAGAAAGACAAAGCUGGCUGAUCCCAGCAGCAGCAAAGAGGAAUAGAUCAUUUCAUGCUCAGCUAUUGGAGGAUUUAAACUCCCUCUGUAAUGAAAGUGAAGCAGAACUGUAUUGUGAGAAUUGCCAAUGCAAGGAGAACAUCUCCAUCUGUAGAUUUUAUAUCACUGACAUGAAACAAAGAAUAAAUAGCACAUGGGAUACUGAAGGCAGCCAGGUGCUAUCCAGAGUGAUCUCUGAACUGCUAGAGCUUUUUAGUAGUCUCCAUGAAGACCUGAAAGCUAUGAGAUACAAUCCUGACUGGGCAGACAUAGUAGCUUUUAAACUCAUCCUUCGAAUAAGAGAAGCCAUGCUCAGAGUUCAUUUAACGCCAGCAUCUACAAGUUUUCAAACAACAUUGCAUCCACUUUUCAGCAUUCUGAACUAUGCUAUCCUCUCAUCAGAGAACGUACAUAAGUGCUGGAUGGAUAAUGUCAAUCUAUCACUUGAUUUUACUCACUAUGAAGGAAUCUCUUUUCUCAUCCCAUUCUUGGGCUCAGCUGAAUUUGUCUCCAUUAAAGCCUUGGUAAAGGAACUUUAUUAUGCACAGAGCUGUCUGCUGCAGAAUGGACAGGAAAAGCUCAGCAAGAAAUCUAAAGAAAUCCUGUCCACAAUGAGCCUUAAGAUCAGUCUGUUAGUGAUAGCCUGCCUCAUUUACCCCAUAAUCCUGAUGUCCUUCAAGCAAAUGACAGACUGGAUACACAAUUAUGCCAGGAACCUCAAGGAAAGGACAGAGGACUUGAAAAGGGAGAGGCAGCUAGCUGAGGACCUCUUACACCAGAUGUUGCCAAAAUCUGUGGCCAAGCAGCUAAGGAAAUGCCAAAAAGUUGAGGCAGAAAACUAUGAUCAGGUAAAUCUAGAGACUAUAGGUGAGCAAAUGGAAAACACACUAUCACCAAGGAUAGGAAAGGAUUCCUUUAAAAGAACAUCUAUCUUAUCUCCAGUUUGA